RNAcentral lists this ribosomal RNA (56 nucleotides) under Metarhizium rileyi. RNAcentral describes it as "partial 28S ribosomal RNA". Lineage: Eukaryota; Fungi; Ascomycota; Sordariomycetes; Hypocreales; Clavicipitaceae. The record is from RNAcentral.
GUUGACCUCGAAUCAGGUAGGAAUACCCGCUGAACUUAAGCAUAUCAAUAAGCGGA